This 30-nucleotide non-coding RNA is filed under the name Mus musculus (house mouse). The record is from RNAcentral. Lineage: Eukaryota; Metazoa; Chordata; Mammalia; Rodentia; Muridae.
UGGUUUGGGACUUCAGUGAUUUGGAACAAG